GAGUUACCUUCACGAGGAGGUCAGCCAGGAAGAAACUACAAGAUGCUCAUUUCAUAAUGUGAUUCAAAAGCACAAAGGGAAACUCAAUCACAUGCCCCCUCUUUUCAGGUACUGACUCAAGUGGCUCUCUGAGAAUGGGCCCUUCCUUCCUCUACCCACCCUCCCUUUCAAGAUCAGGCUCAGUUCUUGUCUUUUAGAACCACAGGGAAACAGUCUGGCAAGAGCCACUGUUGUACCAGCUGAUUUAAAUUGAAAUGUUUUCCCCAGAUAAAUACGUGCUAAAUAAUAUACCAGCUCUCCAGCCAAAGGGAAGUGACAGGCGCUCUGUAAAUAAAGGCACUUAGUUGCUGGUAAAGAGCUGUAAAGUGGUUCUGAGCUGAUGUUUGCUGACCAGCAAGAAGCAGCUUCACCUGCUUUAUAUAAUUGUCACUGCAGUCUUGCCUGCUGUAUAUUAAAACUGCAUCUCAUAGACCCAACUGUCACAUCGGAUAUACCAUCCAGCAUGGGGUAUGCCACCUUUCUCCGUAAUUGUUUUUGACAACCAGCCAUCACAUCUCAGAUCUUUUCAGAAAGCGUCUGGUCCAAAGUCCCUAGGCUGGGUCAGUUCUGACACCAUGUGGGCUAGAACAGUGGCACCAAAAGGGAAUGUGAAUAGAGAAGAGGAAAAAGAGGCUUUGUUAGUCUCAGAGACCAGAUAAUGCACACUGGCAAGUGUCUGAACCCAAAUCUCAACAAAGACUCUACCUCCUCAAUGUUAAGGUACAUUUUUCAUGUUACAUGGUAUCAUGCUAGAAAAACUUUCCAUUGAGAUGCAUGGAUAUUUUGGCCCCAGAGCACACACGCUUGCCCUGAGUCCACAUUUCUGUCCUGCUGAGUUUUGGAGAAAUGGUAAUGUAGCUCUCAAGACAAAGCCGAGGAUGCAGCUUCAUAAGGACUGCAGAAUAAAUAGUGAUGAAAAGUGGGUAGCAGUGGCCAGAAAUCUAUGUUGCUAUCCCUCGGGGGAAGUUAGAUUUGCUUCCCAACAUGCAAAGAGUAACACGAAAUCCAUUUUGUACCCUGUAAUUCCAAUCUACUUGGAGCGUGGUCGUGACAAAUACCUAGAUGAAGGGUAAUUAAAAUAUCUGAGGCCAAUGAGCGUUCCAGCUGGUCAAACAGUUCUCAAGGAGGGACAGUGACAGGGAAACCUAGUUUGUCCCUCCAUCCCCCUGGGCUGGGACAAACCCAAGGAGUGGGCUGUGUGAUGAGCAGCCCAAGAUGAAUACAGAGCACUUGCCCGUCAGAGAGAAAGUCACUUCCUGUGCUGAUGGCCACCGCUGGACUUUUGGAAGGUCAGAGUGUCCCCAGAGGAGGGUGUUAGAAACCAAGGACAAGAGAAGGGCAGACAGAGUAAGAAAACAAGGGGAAAUAUGGGCUCAGUGUGCCGGUAGCUUUGGCAGUCUCUCACUGAGAGCAGAACGAAGUGCUUGCUGGCUGCUGGGGGGCAUGGGCUCCACACCACUGCUGACCAAGAGUCUGAAAAUUGCCACUGGCCAUGGGGUACAUCCUUGGCCUCCUUUGGUGUGUAUGUGUGUGUGUCUGGGGGGUGGGUGUACUAAAGAAGGAGUGCCCUUCUCUUCUUUGUGCAGGAAAAAUAUGCUCCCGUUCCCUUUCUUCCUUAUCUCCCGCCAAAGCCUAUUUUCCUUGCUUAUGCCUGUCCUAAAACAGUAAAGAAAGCUUUUGAGAAUCAGGUAUGUGUGGAGGGGAGGGGAAGCCUUUUUAUCAGCGUGGCCAUCAUACAGGAUCUGAGAGGCUGGGGUCAGGUUUAUGAGAGCUGGAAGGAACACCCAUGUCAGACACACACGUAACUCAAUCAGGCAUUGAGAUUCUGAUCUAUGGACCUUGACAAUCACAAUUAUUGAAUUGGGAGAAAACAGACAUGCUGGGGAAAGGGAGUAUUUUCUGGCCCCUCCUGCUCAGUUCCAUCUGCCCCCCCCCCGCCGAAGGGAGCGCUUCUCCUGCUUCCACUUCUUUCCAUUCCCCUUGCUAGCUCCCGCCAGGAGAAGAGGAGCGUCUAAUUGGGUUGGUCAGCGUGUUCACUGGACCGGGCUUUGUUAGCGUGCAGAAUAUUGUGCCUUAAAGCAGUGCACACGAGUCACCUGGGGACCCUGUUAGAAUGCAGAUUCUGACCCAGGAGGUUUGGGGUGGGCGUGAGAUUCUGCACUUCUAACAAGCUCCCCAGGGGACGCCCAUGCUGGGACGGAGUUGGGAGGACACAUGAGGAAGAACAACUACUUAAAGGCAGGAACCAAAUGGUGGCUUGCCUCUUCCACCUCCCAGAAGGCCAACUUACUGUCUCCUCAUAUCCUCUGUCACCUGUGCUCCCUGAGCAGGCAGGACAGAAGGCAGUCUCUGGCUCUCCAGUACACAGCUGGGUAGGUAAGACUCUCUUUUAGAGCCUUGGCAUGUUGCUAUGACCUGAGGCCCAGCUGAUCAAGUGGAUACCAAGAUUUAGAUUUGGGGGAGAGGCAGAGGAUGGCAGAGUGGAGAGGUGAAAACCAGGCUUCAGACCAUAGCAGUCAGGGUUGCGUCAAGAAUAGAAGUCACUCUAUUCCAAGUAUAAAGAAAAUUAGAUGCGGAUGCCACCAUCGGAAGGGCUGUAGGAACAAAAGUCAAAGAGGCCACCAUGAGCCAUUGCACUGGCAACACCAAGUUGCAAGCCCCACAGGAGGUACUGUGAACCUCCAGGCAGCUCGAAGAAGGCCACACCACACCCCUCAGUCCCUAGCAGCAAAGCCAGUGAUUCUCAGAAAGCUCCUUUAAAAGCUGCUUUAGGGGCGCCUGGGUGGCGCAGUCGGUUAAGCGUCCGACUUCAGCCAGGUCACGAUCUCGCGGUCCGUGAGUUCGAGCCCCGCGUCAGGCUCUGGGCUGAUGGCUCAGAGCCUGGAGCCUGUUUCCGAUUCUGUGUCUCCUUCUCUCUCUGCCCCUCCCCCGUUCAUGCUCUGUCUCUCUCUGUCCCAAAAAUGAAUAAACGUUGAAAAAAAAAAAUUAAAAAAAAAAAAGCUGCUUUGAACCUCGCAUCUGCUCAGGGUCUGGCUGCCGCUGCCUCCAAAGAAUCAAGGUCUCUUUGUCUCUUCCAAAUUCCAGAUCUCGUCCCAGUGCCCGGCUCUCAUUGGCAGACUCCAGCCCAGAACUGUGCAGGGCAGAGGAUGCUAGGAACUGCUGUUCCCAGCUUUGCUGCACUGUUUUGAGCAGAUGUUGGAAGGAGGUGGUGCUGGUGCUGAGCUGACAAAAGAUCCAGCAGCACAUGUCUGGGCUGCAAGAUGGGGCUGAACUUUAUCCCGUCAAUAAGGUCGCGCUUCAUAUCCCAGCAGCUAGAGUUCUCACGGCUGUGCUCCCUCCACCUUUGGUCCUGGAAUGAUGGGAUUCAGGCCCCCACCACGUACCCAAUGUCACCCAUCCAGCAGACCACUUAUGACAACGAUCCUGCAGUUCAUGGCAAGCCUGCGCAGAAGCAGUCCUGCCAAGGCUCAGAUUAGUCAGGCUGUUUGUUACAAGGUUUUGCUGUGCUGCCUCUCUGAGACUUCUAGAUGACAUCUUUACUAGCAGCUAUCUGCCCAGGAUCCCAGAGAAAAUGACAGGGAAGAUGGGGGCAGAGCAGAGAAGGUGGAUGUACAUCAUUUCACUCUGGCAUGCCUGCUGUAGAGAACGUGUGGGCUGAUGAGCAUCACCUCUUGCUAAAUGACUUUUCGUGUCCCUAUAGUCCCCGCUGUCCGGGGGUCACCAUCCGUAGGUCAGCGGAUAACAAAGUAAAGCUUAACACCCCCAUGCAGCUAUAACAAUGGCAACGCUUAACAUAGGUCAAUGGCAAAAAUAUAUACUGCAGAGAAACAUUAGGAAUUGUUCAGCCAGCAUCUUUUCAGUGCCUGACAUUUAGCUGGUGACCCGGGUCACAGAGCCACUGUUUGGGAAGACUGAGGGCAGUGGCAAUUGAAAGGCUGCUUUCCUCUCUGGGAAGGCAGGCUAUUCGGGGUGUGGGUGUUCAGGUGUUCUCAAGCCUGCUUCCCGAGAUGGUAAGAAGACGCGGCAGAUGCCCCUUUGAAAGCCAUCACCCGGACCACAGGUUUUACUGCCAGCAGGCUGGUGUGAGCCUCUUUGAAUUACUGAGUGAAGGAUAUCCCUCUUGCCAGCCCCUGUCCCCUGUAGGCACAGCAGAGAAGUAUUACAGGCUGUCCUUACCUUGGGAAUUAGCCUGCAAGACCCCGAUGCUGUCAUCAAACUGCAUAGAUUUGAUGUUGAGUGACGCCAAGAUGCAUUCCUUGUCCUGCAGCGAAGUAUCAUCAAUAUUAUUCUGAUUGGCUGACAGGAUAACGCACAUGUCACAGAGGUUGAUGUUGACGGCCCUUAAAUCAGCCCGACUUAAUGGCGUACCCUUUGGCAUCGAGGAAAGGGAAAAAAAAAAAAAGAAGAAGCAAAAGUGAGACCGAGGGACGGGAGGGAAAGAGGGGGAAAAAAAAAUAAAAACAAAUUAAAGAUGGAGCCGGAGCUUUGGGAAAUUAUUUAACAAGUAUCUUUUUUAUGCCUUGACAUUAAGCUGGCCUAACUACAUUCAAGGGAAUAGGAGCUGUGUGCUAAUCUAAAGGGUAGUCGGUGCUGAUGGCGGCAUUUCAGGCUUGCUCUCCACACUCAAUCAAGCCGUUGCUAACAAACGAGGGAGAGGAAUAAUGCCAGGGUUCUACAUCUUCUUCCUGCCUGGAAAUUGUCUUGAUUUAAGAAACUGUCCUGUGGCAACCUCUGGCUUUCAGAAUGUAACGAGGGGGUGGGUUUCAAAUGCCUGUUUAUUUAAUAGCAGGUCACUUCUGUCUCGGGCAAAAACAGCAGCUCUGACUAGAAUUUCCAAUGCAGCCAAGGGGAAAUAGCCAGUGAGCAUGGUAUGAUGAGGUGGGACUGAUAGCACUGCUCAACCUGGAGGACGUGAGAGGGAUGGAAUUAAUGUGCAUCUUGUAAAGGGGAGGGGGGAAGAACUUAAGCUUCAAGUCAUAUAAUUUUAUUGUAAAUUUUCAGCAAGAGAAAAAAAAGCACAAGAAAAUCGCCUAAUUGACCAACAACAGAGGGAUGGUUGAAUACGCCACUGGACAUACAUACAAGGAAAGUCCAUGCAGCAGGUAAAGAGACCAAAACAGCUCUCCAUGUAGGUGUAGCCUGGGCAGGAUCUCUAAAAUAGUGGGAUAAGUGCAAAACAAAAACACAAAAAAACAAGUCCUAGAUCAUUUAAAAAGUAUUAUUUCAUUUAUGUAAAAAGAAACCCACAAAAUAAAGCUAUAUAUUUAUGAAUGCACUCGUAAAUGCAUGUACAUUUGGAGAGAAAUUUCAGGAAAAAUAUACACUAAACUAAUAACAGUAAUUACCUCUAGGGAGGAGAAUAAGAUUGGGGGUAAAGGGAAAAGUUUGUUUUUGACUUUACAUACUUCUGUCUUGUUUGAAUAUUUUAUAACAAGAACGUAUUUGUAUAUUACCGGUGUAAUUAAAAAUAAAUAAGCCAGUAAACAGAUUUUUUUAAAUCCCGUAAGAACAAAAAAGCAGUGGGGGAAAAAAAAACCCAGAACAAGGAGGUAAUGACAGAGAGGAAGAGAAGGCAAGCACAGGUAGGAAAGAAGGGUUAAGUGUCAGAGGGGAGAGGCAUGACCUCCACACGCUCUGUGUCCUCAGGAGGGAUCACAGAAGAACUAAUCAGGCCAUCCAUGUCAGGGCUCCCUAGGGGUCAUGUGGCAUCAUUUUGGAGUUCACAUACUUGGUCCUUCAGCCUGGAUCCAGCUUCUGCUCUGCCUACGUGAAGAUUUGAGUUGCCUUCAACUCACUGACCGCGUAGGGAGAGGGUUUGCCAACCCCCAUAUAUCCCCGGAUGCCUUCCUCCCAUUCUCCUUCCUGGAGAAGGGGCUUUGGGAUGAUGGAACUUGGCCGCUCAGAUUGAGACCAUCAACCCCCUUUGAUGCCUCAGUGAGAGACAUGAUUCUGCUCUCAGGCCCCAAAAUACUGCUGCAAAGUGGCAUUAUGGAGCAAGAGGCAUUUAGUGCUUUGGGGCUGGGAAGCUACUAAUUCCAGCCUCUGGAGCAGUAUCUUCUGAGAGGAGAAGAAUCCCUCUUUUCCAGGGAUCACUUGGUACAAAGUAAGUCUGACCAACUUCCUGAAUCAUUUAGCCAGUGCUUAUGCCUCAAUUGCCUACAUUCAUAUUCUUUUAAUUUUCACCUUGUAGGGAAUCAGCAGUAAUUGUGAUAUAAGACAAUCCCUGCAUAGUUGUAUACACAAGAUUUCAAAACUCAAGAAAUACUGAUGACAUAUAUAGAAACACCAUGUUUCUCUGGACUGACUCCAUACGUGGGGCACUGUUUAAACAAUGAAAUAUGUGAAGACAUAGAGGAAGGCCCAUUUGUACAAUAUGCUGUGCGUGAGUGUGUUAAAUUUCAGAGGGUUUAAAAAGGACCAGCAAAUAUGAGAGCUCAUUCGUAUGUAGGCCAAUAGGUGAGUGCAUGUAUACAAGGGCACACAGGAGACACACACAUAUACACACAUAGAAUGCACACACACACACACACACACACACACCAAACAUUACCUAUACACCCAACACCCAUACAUACAGAAUGCACACUCGUGUGCAUGUGUGCACACGCACAUACACACGUGCGUGCACACACACACACACAGCCCAGCAAAAUAAUAAGCUCUUUACAAAACACUUUUAGACCCAGUCCAUGUGUUCCAAGGGACCAUGUGUAAAAGCACAUGUACAAAAAUAAUUGUGGAAAUACAUAAUCAAAUCUAACAUGACUGAAAUUAGCAAGGUAUAUAUCUGCUUAUGCUCUUCUACGUGUAUGACUAUUUGUUUUUCUUCAGGUGAUUAUUUUUAACUACAUGUGUUUACUAAAUCAGCUUACUAGUUUCCUAAAUCUAGAAUUGUUUAAAAGUUUAUGAAAAAUAUAUUGAUUAAUGAUCAGGAAAUAAUUACUUGCCUCCUAGAUCAUGUAUCCUGCAUCCUUACACUAAAUUGUUGAGUCUCAAACUGUUCCUUUUAGAUUUGGGCCUUAGCAUAUUUUUCAAUCAAGAAUAUCACAUGCACAUAUGUGUGCGUACACAUACAAGCCUAUGAAAAUAUUGCUAGGCUUCUACAUGAAUGGGAGGCAGGGAGUGGCCAGAGGAAGGGGCUGGCCUUCCAUACAACAGAAAUAAAGAAAGAACUCUGUUAAAUCCACUUAGUUAAAAAACAGAAAGCAAUAUGACCAAGAUUCACAGAAGCAUUAAUAAUAUCAUAAAUAAAAUGCUAAAAAUAGUUCCAUAAGUAAAUUCUGCUAUAAGCAUCAUAAUAUCUCAAAGCAUUAGGUUUGGGUAGGCAAGACAGAGAGAGAGUGUAUAGACAUCGAUAUGGUUAAUACAUUUGGUAUCAGCUAAACUUCAUGCUUGAUGAGCAGCUGAACUUGGCUGCAAAUUCCUUUUAAUAAGGUCUCCCAGGGUUUAGAUAUUCCUAGACAGAGCAUAAGGGAAGGGCUGAGUCCUCAGGCCCAUAACCGGAUGAAGAAGCAGAGGCAUGAUCAAAGCUACAGCUAUUAUAUCCAUCCGGGAUUUUCUUUUGUGAAUGAAAAGAAGGAAAAAGCAUCGAUAAUGUGACCUUGGACUUACAGGCAAUAUGGACACUUUGGGGAAGUUAUGAAGCGUCUCCCAUUCCCGCUUGAGGUACUCAAUGGAGCCCACAAACACGAUGUGCUUGAGCUCGUGGUAAUGAAAGUUGCUGGCACGGAGUGGCAUCACCAGGUUCCGGAGGCCAAUCAGGGCUGAGCUGACAUCACCAAAGAUGCAGACCACGACGUGGCCGCUCAGGACGGUCAUGGCGGCUUCACUUCGAGUCUGCAACAAGGAAAAGCGCACCAGCAUUGGAGAAAAGACCUCACAGUGUUUUGGGAAGUAUUUAAAAAAACACUUUCAUAAAGA
RNAcentral lists this long non-coding RNA (7959 nucleotides) under Lynx pardinus (Iberian lynx). The record is from RNAcentral. Lineage: Eukaryota; Metazoa; Chordata; Mammalia; Carnivora; Felidae.